This 400-nucleotide long non-coding RNA is filed under the name Capsicum annuum. Its description in RNAcentral is "long non-coding RNA (CANN_LNC015023)". The record is from RNAcentral. Lineage: Eukaryota; Viridiplantae; Streptophyta; Magnoliopsida; Solanales; Solanaceae.
GCAUGAAAAUUGUGCAAAAAAAAAUUAAGUUUGAAGAUUUUCAAGAAACAUUAUAAUGUUGUAGAAGAAAAGAAGUGACAUAAAAACAUAACCUUUUUGACAAUUUUAGUUUUAUGUGAGGAGACAAAAGGAAUAAGAAAGUUGCAAAGUUGUAAACAAUAAAAAAGAAUGUAGCAAUGCAAAAAUCUUUUUGUCUAAUGAAAAAUAAAGAAACAAGAGAGACAAACACAGUAUGUUGUGUGUGUGUGUGUGUUUGGGGGUGGAGGGGAGGGGGGGGUGGCGGGGUUCUUGAUCUUUUCAAAAAAGAUUACCUUUUGGUUAGUUAUAGAACAAGAAGUAAUAGUAGAAGAAGAAAGAAGAUUUUGUUUGGUGAGUUUUUCUCAUACAACAAACAACAACU